GGCCACUCCACUCCUCUGGACUCUGAAAAACACAAAGGAGAGAAGACCUUCCGGUCCAUCCCUAGGGUUGCGCCGCCGGCCCAUCCCCAACUAGCGAGCGCUGCCGCCGUCCGGCACUCCGGCCGACCGGACAACACUCCAGGCCUCGAGUAGCAUCUCCGUCCCCGCCCCAUCUCCAAGUCUCCAACCCCGCGCCGGUCGACAACACGCCACCAUAGGGAUCCGGUGACCCGACAAGUAAUACGAUGGCAUCCGAACCUGAGUAUGCUCUUGAGGAUGAGCUGAAUGCACGUGAACUUGCCCUUGCGAAUGUCCGUGAACUUGCGGCGGUUGCCCGUGAAUUUGCGCUUGCGGAUGCAGAAGCAUCUGCAGGAGUGAAAGCCACGGUGAAAAUGGAAGAUGUGUUUGUGAGUUGUUUGAAGAAUAUAGGCUUAAAUCCCCCUCACCUGCCGCUGCAACGAAAAUAUCCACUGACCAAGCUUUAAGUGAAGGAGGAGGUAGUAUGAUGAAGCAACUUAUUGCGAACAAAUUGAGGCAAAGUAAUGCUACAAGUGGAGGUAGUAAAUCUGAGCUUGAUAAAUACCUUGCUGAAGAUUGUGAAGAUCCCCAGACAAAACUUGACAUCCUAGCAUGAUGGAGCGUGAAUUCAUCAAGGUUUCCAACCCUGGGGAAGAUGGCUCAUGAUAUCUUGGCGAUUUCCAUCUCAACAAUGGCUUCAGAGUCUGCCUUCAGCACAAGUGGACGCAUACUUGAUGACUUCAGGACAUCUCUUACUCCAUUCAUGAUACAAGCUUUAGUGUGUACACAAGAAUGGUUGAGAUGCUCCACUGACCCGUCGACAUCCAAGAGGACAUGGAGGCAUUACAAGUAGAAAAUGAGCUGCUUGAAGAACUUGGUGACAAAGGGAAAGGGAAGCGCAAGGCUGAUGCUGCUGCAUCCUCGGCCUUGGGAAAGUCAAGCAAAGUCCGCUAACAAGUGCAACAACUCUAUAUUAUAUAUGUUCUAUUGUGCUUGUCAUCUGUAAGAUGUUAUUUGUCAAGUUGUGAGUUGUGACUGUGAUACCAUGAGAUUGAGACUUGCUAUUUGUUGUAAGAAUUAAUGUUCUCUUAUUUGUUUUGAAUUAUAAACUGCUAUCUGUGAGCUGCUGCCAUUUCCUGCUACUCUACUGUAA
Molecule: long non-coding RNA, 1171 nt
Organism: Lolium perenne
Lineage: Eukaryota; Viridiplantae; Streptophyta; Magnoliopsida; Poales; Poaceae
Source: RefSeq, a predicted model, not a curated record